AGUGGUGCAACCUUGCACCACUAUACCAAUUGUCCAUUUUACCCCUGUUAAAAAAAUUAUUUUAUAAAAAGAAAAAAAUAUUGGUAUUAUCGGGUGGAUUUUGAUGGGAUUAAUUUUUUGAACAGGGAUAAAAUGGACAAUUAACAUAGUGGUGCAAAGUUACACCACU
This 169-nucleotide microRNA precursor is filed under the name Lotus japonicus. Its description in RNAcentral is "miR11144 stem-loop (lja-MIR11144)". Lineage: Eukaryota; Viridiplantae; Streptophyta; Magnoliopsida; Fabales; Fabaceae. The record is from miRBase by way of RNAcentral.